CGGGGCGUAGCUCAGUUUGGCUAGAGCGCUACCUUGGGGUGGUAGAGGUCGCAGGUUCAAGUCCUGUCGCUCCGACCA
Molecule: transfer RNA, 78 nt
Filed under: Desulfothermobacter acidiphilus
Lineage: Bacteria; Bacillati; Bacillota; Clostridia; Thermoanaerobacterales; Thermoanaerobacteraceae
Also listed under: 2 other names
Description: tRNA-Pro
Rfam family: tRNA
About the family: Transfer RNA (tRNA) molecules are approximately 80 nucleotides in length. Their secondary structure includes four short double-helical elements and three loops (D, anti-codon, and T loops).
Source: RNAcentral